ACGAACGCUGGCGGCGUGCUUAACACAUGCAAGUCGAACGGUGAAGGGACCAGCUUGCUGGUUCUGGAUGAGUGGCGAACGGGUGAGUAACACGUGAGUAACCUGCCCCCUUCUUCUGGAUAACCGCAUGAAAGUGUGGCUAAUACGGGAUAUUCUGGGUCUGUCGCAUGGCGGGCCCGGGAAAGAUAUUGCUUCGGUGGGGGAUGGGCUCGCGGCCUAUCAGCUUGUUGGUGGGGUGAUGGCCUACCAAGGCGGUGACGGGUAGCCGGCCUGAGAGGGUGGACGGUCACACUGGGACUGAGACACGGCCCAGACUCCUACGGGAGGCAGCAGUGGGGAAUAUUGCACAAUGGGCGCAAGCCUGAUGCAGCGACGCCGCGUGAGGGAUGGAGGCCUUCGGGUUGUAAACCUCUUUCGCCAGUGAAGCAGGCCUGCUCCUUGUGGGUGGGUUGACGGUAGCUGGAGAAGAAGCGCCGGCUAACUACGUG
Molecule: ribosomal RNA, 488 nt
Filed under: uncultured bacterium
Lineage: Bacteria
Description: partial 16S ribosomal RNA
Rfam family: Bacterial small subunit ribosomal RNA
Source: RNAcentral